CGCCAGAGCUCCUUUAGAACACGCUUCAGGACUGUCUUCUCACAUACAGUGGCAAAGAGUGUGAGGCUGCAGACCCAAGUAACAGGUUUCCAGGUCCUGACCCUUACCACUUUUUCCUUGGUGCAAUAAGCCGGGAACUCCUUUGAUAAGAUGUCUGCAUACUGUAUCAGCACUUUCCCGAUGGUCUGAGAAAAGAGGAGCAAAGGAGGGGUGCGAGAACUCUUAGCUCUCCCCAUAGGGGUCUAGCCUGAAGUAACACCUCUCAUCCCAGGACAACAACAAAAGGGAAAUAAAGGGCUCCACGCAGGAAUUCCAGGGACACAUCCUCAUUUUCAUCCAACCAUUGUAGGACAAACUGUUCAAACCACC
Molecule: long non-coding RNA, 369 nt
Organism: Talpa occidentalis (Iberian mole)
Lineage: Eukaryota; Metazoa; Chordata; Mammalia; Eulipotyphla; Talpidae
Exons: 3
Source: RefSeq, a predicted model, not a curated record